Molecule: ribosomal RNA, 417 nt
Filed under: uncultured bacterium
Lineage: Bacteria
Description: bacterial SSU rRNA
Rfam family: Bacterial small subunit ribosomal RNA
Source: RNAcentral
UCGGGAAUAUUGCGCAAUGGAGGAAACUCUGACGCAGUGACGCCGCGUGCAGGAAGAAGGUUUUCGGAUUGUAAACUGCUUUAGACAGGGAAGAAACAAGACAGUACCUGUAGAAUAAGCUCCGGCUAACUACGUGCCAGCAGCCGCGGUAAUACGUAGGGAGCAAGCGUUAUCCGGAUUUAUUGGGUGUAAAUGGGUGCGUAGACGGGAAUGCAAGUUGGUUGUGAAAUCCCUCGGCUCAACCGAGGAAUUGCAACCAAAACUAUAUUUCUUGAGUGCUGGAGAGGAAAGUGGAAUUCCUAGUGUAGCGGUGAAAUGCGUAGAUAUUAGGAGGAACACCAGUGGCGAAGGCGACUUUCUGGACAGUAACUGACGUUGAGGCACGAAAGUGUGGGGAGCAAACAGGAUUAGAUACCC